RNAcentral lists this unclassified non-coding RNA (343 nucleotides) under Klebsiella pneumoniae. RNAcentral's name for it is "partial 16S-23S ribosomal RNA intergenic spacer". The stretch from base 239 to 336 matches the Rfam family "Salmonella enterica Typhi npcRNA 44". The record is from RNAcentral. Lineage: Bacteria; Pseudomonadati; Pseudomonadota; Gammaproteobacteria; Enterobacterales; Enterobacteriaceae.
CCUUAAAGAACCUGCCUUUGUAGUGCUCACACAGAUUGUCUGAUGAACGUAAAGAAGCAAGGCGUCUUGCGAUUGAGACUUCAGUGUCCCCUUCGUCUAGAGGCCCAGGACACCGCCCUUUCACGGCGGUAACAGGGGUUCGAAUCCCCUAGGGGACGCCACUUGCUGGUUCGUGGGUGAAAGACGCGUGCCGAUGUAUCUCAAAACUCAUCUUCGGGUGACGUUUGAGAUAUUUGCUCUUUAAAAAUCUGGAUCAAGCUGAAAAUUGAAACGACACACAGUUAAUGUGUGUUCGAGUCUCUCAAAUUUUCGCAAUCAGAAGUGAAACAUCUUCGGGUUGUGA